AAAAAAAAAAAAAAAAGAUUUUGUGUGUAAACAGUUGGGAAAAAAAUAAGCAAAGACAUCCAUGCUAUAUUUCAAUUACAUGCAAAAUUGCUUGUUGGGUGUGAACCAGGGGUGUGCAAACGUUUGGUCCUGGACGGCUGGUCCUGCAUAGCUGAGCUUCAAUACUAAUCAAACACACCUGAGCAUGCUAAUCAGUGUCUUCAAGAUCACUUGAAACCUAUUAGCACGCGUGUUUGAUUAGAGUCAAGCUGCAGUCACACUGGCGUUUGAUAAUGCGAAAUUCUGUCAUGCGGCGCUGCAAAAGGGGAGGGAUAAAACAAGAUUAUUAGACAUAAAAAAAGCGAGGGAUUGCUCCAUAUUAUAAAUUUCUGUCCAGAGAGGUCAUGUUUUGAUCCUCGAUUGGUCUCAAACAGUCAAGUGAUGCAAUUUCGCAGGUCAGAGUUCACCGAUCUUGAACUUUGCACUGCAGCAACCUGCAAAACUUGAUGCAUAACCCAUGCGUUUCCGGUCUGACGCAUUCGUGCGUAUGCCAAAAAAAGUCUAUGGAGGGGGAAAAAAUUAAUCUAUGGGAGGAAAAGCCCAGUGACCGCAGCUUUAGAGCUAAACUAAACAUUACACCGAAAGAACAAGAUUAGUUGAAUUAGAAACAGCUGCACCUCAUUAACUGAAGGUGUGGUUUGAAAUUGGUUUAUAGCUUCACAUUAAUUGCAAAUACCCCUCACCUUUUGGAUUUCUAACUGGGUCAAAUGCUUUUGUGACAUGCUUACAUAGGGUUUGAUAAACUUGUUUUAAAUGUAGCUGCUUGGUAGGUAGCUCAUAUUACUGAAGUUACAUUGCAGGAUUUCAGGGGAAUGGAACAUAUUGUGAAAAUAUUCAUCUCAAGAAAACUAAACAUUUGUAGAGUGAUUUAAUAUAAUACAUUGUAUUAUCUUCAACCCAAGCUAUAGAUGCAUGUGCAGAGAGGAAUGGAGGUUGCUCAGCCCAUGCUGUGUGUAAGCAUACUCUUCCCAGAAGGAGAAUAUACAUGUGCCAUCCAGGUCAUGCAGGCAAUGAAAAAGAAAAUUGUAUUUAUCUUGGAAAUCAUGGCCUCUACAGUAUUUGUCUUAAGAACAAACUUAUAGAAUGCAGUCAAUAGAUCUUCUAAAGCGGACUCCUGAAAACACCAGAAUCAUGAGGUACCACAUAGUGUGCUGCCGGACCCUCCUUCCACAAGACCUCAUGCAGCCUCGUAACCUGACCACACUUUCUGGGGACAUCCUCUCCAUCACAUACUCUGAGGAAGAAGACAAGCAUCAAGUGAUUUUCAGUGGAGUCUUUGAGCUCCUGCAGGACAGCUGAAAUCACCUCUGAAACCAAGCAGUCAGUGCAGCUCUCUUUCUGAACACAAGAGGAAAAUGUGAUAAAGGAUUUAAGGAAACAAAUAAAAAUAAAGAAGUGUUAAGGUUGUGGAUUAUUUCCAUCUGCUUUAGUUUUCUUUGUGUUGUAAUUAUUUGACACAUGCAUGCUUAAUUAUCCUGCACCUGGACAUCAUUUUCAGUCAGGUUGAAUGAUGAAAAUCCACACCAUCAUGUUGGUCUUUGGGAAAUGGUGAACUGGUUGCAGUUAAUACAGUACACUCAGAAUUAAGAAACAAAUAUAAUAGAUUUUGCACCUGAAAUGUUGGAAGAAGGUAAACAGGUAAGAGUACUUGCUUUAAGAAUUGUGUAAAGAUUAUAUGACGAUGUUUGACACAUUUUAUACCUAAAACUACAUGAUAUAUAAAGAUGUGUACAUCAGAUAUGUUUUCUAUUAUUGAAUUUCGUCAAUGCAAGAUGAGUUGGAUGAUUUAUCAAAAAUGAAUCCAUGUUAUUCUGGUCGAGAUCUUGACAGAAUCAUAUUUUAGUUUUUAUUCUCGCUCUCCUCUGGCUGAACAUGAACAUGUUGAUACACUUAUUGACCACAAGAGGGAGCUCAUAUUUCUUAUCUGCCUAAUACACAUUAUUUAUUAACAUGCCAAUAUUUACAUUUCAUCAAGUAUAAAAAUGUCAACAUGAAAGUCGUUUUGGAAUAUAGUCAAUAAUAGUUGAAAUCUCUUGCGGUAGAAACUGCAGUUUUUCACCCACUCCACUAGGCGGCAGAAGCAAUGCUCAGCUCGACUCAACACGAAUCAGGUGGGAAGACGUAGAACUUCAGAUGACAGCAGCACGCUCGUCAUGACAACAGAAUGAGGGAUGUGUUUGGACCGUACAGUCAACAGAAGCAGAGCUCCGGGACGUUUGGACUACAUUUACUGGCGUGAUGGACGUCUGCUGCGGACAGGAAAAGAACACAGAAGUGAAGACGGUGUGAUCAAGACUGAACACAGGUCAGUUACAAGCUCUUAUACAGUAUAUAGUGAGAGUGAUUUUGAAAAACAGCUUCAUUAGGCUUUAUGAUUAUUUUCUUUGAACCAGUUCGAUUGAUUUGAAGCAUUUACAGCGGUCAAAUUCAAUGAAUCAAUUCAAUUGAUUCAAUUAAAUUGAUUCAUUGAUGUUUGGACUGUGUUCUUAUUGGCAGUUACACCAUUUCAACCUGUAGGUGUAGAGCAAUUCAAUUAAUUUGAAUUGUUCAAAGCAAUUCAUUUCUAUUUAAUGUAUCAUUUUAAAACCUUUAUUUGAAUACAGCCACAUGAUAUUGUCCUCUGCAAAGUUUCUAUCAACACAUUUCUGACAGAGACUCCUCCCCUGCUUAUCGUCCAAUCUCUGUGUGCAUAGUUAACAAGCAUGCUGACAUCAUCCAUAGCAAUGGGCUGAACCCCGGCCUCAAUCUUAGCUCAAGACAUCUCUCCAGUAAACCUUUGAAUCUGCAGCUUUGUGAAUAAGUUGUAAAAGAAAACUCUUAGCUUAAAACUUUUUCCGAUGUUGAGGAGAAGAUAAGUUUUGUGAAUACGGACCCUGAUUCACAACCUGUUUUUAGGAACCUGUGUGUAUUUGAUAAGAGAAACAUGUAAAAUGUGGAGCUCUGUUGGUCCCCAGGACUGGAGUCUAAAACAGACAUCAGUGUAGAUCCAUUCCAACAGAAGUCAUCUAAUAAGAAAAAAAA
Danio rerio (zebrafish) is the source of this 3060-nucleotide non-coding RNA. The record is from RefSeq and is a predicted model, not a curated record. NCBI's taxonomy places the organism in Eukaryota, Metazoa, Chordata, Actinopteri, Cypriniformes, Danionidae.